Molecule: ribosomal RNA, 831 nt
Filed under: uncultured bacterium
Lineage: Bacteria
Description: bacterial SSU rRNA
Rfam family: Bacterial small subunit ribosomal RNA
Source: RNAcentral
ACAUGCAAGUCGAGGGGCAGCAUCAUUAAAGCUUGCUUUGAUGGAUGGCGACCGGCGCACGGGUGAGUAACACGUAUCCAACCUGCCGACAACACUGGGAUAGCCUUUCGAAAGAAAGAUUAAUACCGGAUGGCAUAGUUUUCCCGCACGGGAUAAUUAUUAAAGAAUUUCGGUUGUCGAUGGGGAUGCGUUCCAUUAGGCAGUUGGCGGGGUAACGGCCCACCAAACCAACGAUGGAUAGGGGUUCUGAGAGGAAGGUCCCCCACAUUGGAACUGAGACACGGUCCAAACUCCUACGGGAGGCAGCAGUGAGGAAUAUUGGUCAAUGGACGAGAGUCUGAACCAGCCAAGUAGCGUGAAGGAUGACUGCCCUAUGGGUUGUAAACUUCUUUUAUACGGGAAUAAAGUGAGCCACGUGUGGCUUUUUGUAUGUACCGUAUGAAUAAGGAUCGGCUAACUCCGUGCCAGCAGCCGCGGUAAUACGGAGGAUCCGAGCGUUAUCCGGAUUUAUUGGGUUUAAAGGGAGCGUAGGCGGGUUGUUAAGUCAGUUGUGAAAGUUUGCGGCUCAACCGUAAAAUUGCAGUUGAUACUGGCGACCUUGAGUGCAACAGAGGUAGGCGGAAUUCGUGGUGUAGCGGUGAAAUGCUUAGAUAUCACGAAGAACUCCGAUUGCGAAGGCAGCUUACUGGAUUGUAACUGACGCUGAUGCUCGAAAGUGUGGGUAUCAAACAGGAUUAGAUACCCUGGUAGUCCACACAGUAAACGAUGAAUACUCGCUGUUGGCGAUAUACGGUCAGCGGCCAAGCGAAAGCAUUAAGUAUUCCACCUGGG